UACGUAGGGUGCAAGCGUUGUCCGGAAUUAUUGGGCGUAAAGAGCUCGUAGGCGGUCUGUCACGUCGGCUGUGAAAUCCCGAGGCUCAACCUCGGGUCUGCAGUCGAUACGGGCAAACUAGAGUAUUGCAGGGGAGACUGGAAUUCCUGGUGUAGCGGUGAAAUGCGCAGAUAUCAGGAGGAACACCGGUGGCGAAGGCGGGUCUCUGGGCAAUAACUGACGCUGGAGGAGCGAAAGCGUGGGGAGCGAACAGG
RNAcentral lists this ribosomal RNA (254 nucleotides) under uncultured bacterium. Its description in RNAcentral is "partial 16S ribosomal RNA". It matches the Rfam family "Bacterial small subunit ribosomal RNA", at positions 524 to 776 of the family's 1533-position model. The record is from RNAcentral.